Cherax quadricarinatus is the source of this 244-nucleotide non-coding RNA. NCBI's taxonomy places the organism in Eukaryota, Metazoa, Arthropoda, Malacostraca, Decapoda, Parastacidae. The record is from RefSeq and is a predicted model, not a curated record.
CCCACCCAGCCACCCGCCCACCUGGGAAAGUGAGGAAGGGAGUUCAUCUGAGGGGACACAGGUGGACUUCUGGACACACGGAACUAGGGAAAGCACCAAGACAACCGGGAGUGGGAAAUGUGGAAGGGUUGACUUCUGGGGGCCCACGGCUGGAGACCUGGAAACAUAAACCACACCUGACUAUGACCACACCACACCAUGAUCACACACACACACCCGCCCACCCCAAAAACCCAACCACCCA